CUUUAUUCAAGAUUCAAACAUUUUUGAGGGCCCCUCUACACAUUAGGGCCCUAUAUACUUAGUACCCCUUUUCCCCCCAGUCCAACGCCCCUGGUUGUACCCAUUGUUGACAUAGCUCCCAUCUUAGUUUACUGGGCCAAAGUUGGUUUAAAAUGUACUGCUUGCAUUUUGUUUCCAUCCAACGUUAAUCCUGCAAUGAUGAGCAAUGUUUCAUAUCCCCAUUAACAUGUACAUUUCCACCAGUGUGUUUGUAUCCUGACAGCAGCGCACUGAAUUAAUGAAAUUGACGCCUAAAAACACCGCUGUUCAAUUUUUCUCUCGUGACAGACAAAGAAAACAUUGACCCUGCGUCUAUAAAUGUUUAAUAAAGACCGCAAACGUUUGAAGGGACUGGAUUUGGCUCGUUAAGCCAUACAUAUCACACCCCACAACCAGGGCUUCCUUAAGUCGAAUAACAAAAUGUAAAGCCGGGGAAAUGAUGCUACUGGCCAAAUUGUCCGGAAGAAAAAAAUCAACAAAAGAUGCGCAUAGCAAGCUGCUGCGAAGUCCCUUUUGAUGCAACAGUAGUAGCUCACUUCGAGCGUGGCUAAAUCUUUUGCGUUCUUGUGCCGCUGAUAUGCCAAACAACCCAAUGCAAUUAAUACGCGCCCCAAGAAAACGGCACUCAUCGUUUAGCGCGCGUAAAACCAGUCGCGUUAAAUGUCCGCCAGCAAAACAAUUUGGCCUAACCAAAAAACCUCUUGAGCUAGAGCCCAAAAGCACAGUUAAUAGUACAAACGUCUGGGAAAAGGCUGCGAGUCACAUUGUCCAGCGAGAAAUGGAUGCCCUGAGAACAACAAUUACAAUUCCUCAGUUGACCCAGACACAUUCUGUACCAACCCAACAGCAAAUCAUUACAAAAACAUCUGAACUGUAAAUGUCACAAUAAUGCAUCUUUUAUUACUAAAACAUGUAUACUGCAUAUACAUUUAUAUAAAUGUUCAGAUAUUGGGCUAGAUUUAUUUCCCCUCAAAAUGUAUUCAAACAUAUUAAACUAAAA
Molecule: long non-coding RNA, 1039 nt
Organism: Esox lucius (northern pike)
Lineage: Eukaryota; Metazoa; Chordata; Actinopteri; Esociformes; Esocidae
Source: Ensembl